Molecule: transfer RNA, 69 nt
Filed under: Podarcis lilfordi (Lilford's wall lizard)
Lineage: Eukaryota; Metazoa; Chordata; Lepidosauria; Squamata; Lacertidae
Description: tRNA.Ala
Source: RNAcentral
GUCCCAGCUCAGGGGUAGAACAUCUGUUUUGCAUGCAGAAGGUCCUAGGUUUGAUCCCCAGCAUUUCCA